CACGUAGUUAGCCGUGACUUUCUGGCGGGGCACCAUCAGUCAGCACCCAUUUCCUGAUGCUGCCUUUUUUCCCCCGCAACAGAGCUUUGCGACCCGAAGGCCUUCUUCACUCACGCGGCAUCGCUCGUUCAGGCUUGCGCCCAUUGACGAAAAUUCCCUACUGCUGCCUCCCGCAGGAGUCUGGGCCGUGUCUCAGUCCCAAUGUGGCCGUCCGCCCUCUCAGGCCGGCUAUGCAUCAUCGUCUUAGUGGGCCUUUACCCCGCCAACCAACUAAUGCACCGCAGGUCCAUCCGCGCCCCAUCCCCUAAAGGAUGUUUCACAGAAAGAAGAUGCCUCCUUCCUGUACAUCGGGAUUUGUUCUCCGUUUCCAGAGCGUAUUCCCGGUGCACGGGCAGGUUCCCUAGUGUUACUCACCCGUUCGCCACUAGAGACCCGAAGGUCUCUCGUUCGACUUGCAUGUAUUAGGCAUGCCGCCAGCCGUUCAUCCUGACGCCAGGAUAA
Molecule: ribosomal RNA, 501 nt
Filed under: uncultured Allobaculum sp.
Lineage: Bacteria; Bacillati; Bacillota; Erysipelotrichia; Erysipelotrichales; Erysipelotrichaceae
Description: partial 16S ribosomal RNA
Source: RNAcentral